CCUACGGGGGGCAGCAGUGGGGGAUAUUGCACAAUGGGGGCAACCCUGAUGCAGCGACGCCGCGUGGGCGAAGAAGUAUUUCGGUAUGUAAAGCCCUAUCAGCAGGGAAGAAGAAAUGACGGUACCUGAGUAAGAAGCACCGGCUAAAUACGUGCCAGCAGCCGCGGUAAUACGGAGGGUGCAAGCGUUAUCCGGAUUUACUGGGUGUAAAGGGAGCGCAGGCGGCACGGCAAGCCUGAUGUGAAAGCCCGGGGCCCAACCGCGGGACUGCAUUGGGAACUACCGGGCUGGAGGGCCGGAGAGGUAGGCGGAAUUCCUAGUGUAGCGGUGAAAUGCGUAGAGAUUAGGAGGAACACCAGUGGCGAAGGCGGCCUACUGGACGGUGACUGACGCUGAGGCUCGAAAGCGUGGGGAGCAAACAGGAUUAGAUACCCCGGUAGUC
RNAcentral lists this ribosomal RNA (442 nucleotides) under uncultured bacterium. RNAcentral's name for it is "partial 16S ribosomal RNA". It matches the Rfam family "Bacterial small subunit ribosomal RNA", at positions 338 to 795 of the family's 1533-position model. The record is from RNAcentral.